Molecule: ribosomal RNA, 1372 nt
Filed under: uncultured Pelagibacterales bacterium
Lineage: Bacteria; Pseudomonadati; Pseudomonadota; Alphaproteobacteria; Candidatus Pelagibacterales
Description: bacterial SSU rRNA
Rfam family: Bacterial small subunit ribosomal RNA
Source: RNAcentral
CGCCUAACACAUGCAAGUCGAACGAAGUAGCAAUACUUAGUGGCAGACGGGUGAGUAACAUGUAGGUAUCUGCCCUUUGGCCUGGAAUAACACGAGGAAACUUGUGCUAAUACCGGAUAAGUCUUUACGGAGAAAGCUUUAUGCACCAUUGGAUGAGCCUGCACUUGAUUAGUUUGUUGGUGGGGUAAUGGCCUACCAAGACUGUGAUCAAUAGCUGAUUUGAGAGGAUGAUCAGCCACAUUGGGACUGAGACACGGCCCAAACUCCUACGGGAGGCAGCAGUGGGGAAUCUUGCACAAUGGAGGAAACUCUGAUGCAGCGAUGCCGCGUGAGUGAAGAAGGCCCUUGGGUUGUAAAGCUCUUUCGUCGGGGAAGAAAAUGACUGUACCCGAAUAAGAAGGUCCGGCUAACUUCGUGCCAGCAGCCGCGGUAAUACGAAGGGACCUAGCGUAGUUCGGAAUUACUGGGCUUAAAGAGUUCGUAGGUGGUUGAAAAAGUUAGUGGUGAAAUCCCAGAGCUUAACUCUGGAACUGCCAUUAAAACUUUUCAGCUAGAGUAUGAUAGAGGAAAGCAGAAUUUCUAGUGUAGAGGUGAAAUUCGUAGAUAUUAGAAAGAAUACCAAUUGCGAAGGCAGCUUUCUGGAUCAUUACUGACACUGAGGAACGAAAGCAUGGGUAGCGAAGAGGAUUAGAUACCCUCGUAGUCCAUGCCGUAAACGAUGUGUGUUAGACGUUGGAAAUUUAUUUUCAGUGUCGCAGGGAAACCGAUAAACACACCGCCUGGGGAGUACGACCGCAAGGUUAAAACUCAAAUGAAUUGACGGGGACCCGCACAAGUAGUGGAGCAUGUGGUUUAAUUCGAAGAUACGCGCAGAACCUUACCAACACUUGACAUGUUCGUCGCGACUCUAAGAGAUUAGAGUUUUCGGUUCGGCCGGACGAAACACAGGUGCUGCAUGGCUGUCGUCAGCUCGUGUCGUGAGAUGUUGGGUUAAGUCCCGCAACGAGCGCAACCCUCACUUUUAGUUGCCAUCAUUAAGUUGGGCACUCUGAAAGAACUGCCAGUGAUAAGCUGGAGGAAGGUGGGGAUGACGUCAAGUCCUCAUGGCCCUUACGUGUUGGGCUACACACGUGCUACAAUGGUAUCUACAACAGGAAGCAAGACUGCGAAGUUAAGCAAAUCCCUAAAAGAUACCUCAGUUCGGAUUGCACUCUGCAACUCGAGUGCAUGAAGCUGGAAUUACUAGUAAUCGUGGAUCAGCGUGCCACGGUGAAUGCGUUCCCGGGUCUUGUACACACCGCCCGUCACACCAUGGGAGUUGGUUCUACCUUAAGGCAAGGUUUUAAACCCUUGACCACGGUAUAGUCAGCGA